This 520-nucleotide ribosomal RNA is filed under the name uncultured Glomus. RNAcentral's name for it is "SSU rRNA". It matches the Rfam family "Eukaryotic small subunit ribosomal RNA", at positions 569 to 1091 of the family's 1831-position model. The record is from RNAcentral. Lineage: Eukaryota; Fungi; Glomeromycota; Glomeromycetes; Glomerales; Glomeraceae.
AGCAGCCGCGGUAAUUCCAGCUCCAAUAGCGUAUAUUAAAGUUGUUGCAGUUAAAAAGCUCGUAGUUGAAUUUCGGGGUUAGUAGGUUGGUCAUGCCUCUGGUAUGUACUGGUCUCACUGAUUCCUCCUUCCUGAUGAACCUUAAUGCCAUUAAUUUGGUGUUUUGGGGAAUUUGGACUGUUACUUUGAAAAAAUUAGAGUGUUUAAAGCAAGCUAACGCUUGAAUACAUUAGCAUGGAAUAAUGAAAUAGGACGUUCGAUCCUAUUUUGUUGGUUUCUAGGAUUGACGUAAUGAUUAAUAGGGAUAGUUGGGGGCAUUAGUAUUCAAUUGUCAGAGGUGAAAUUCUUGGAUUUAUUGAAGACUAACUACUGCGAAAGCAUUUGCCAAGGAUGUUUUCAUUAAUCAAGAACGAAAGUUAGGGGAUCGAAGACGAUCAGAUACCGUCGUAGUCUUAACCAUAAACUAUGCCGACUAGGGAUCGGAUGAUGUUAAUUUUUAAUGACUCAUUCGGCUCCGUUA